This is a non-coding RNA of Hypomesus transpacificus, 764 nucleotides long. Lineage: Eukaryota; Metazoa; Chordata; Actinopteri; Osmeriformes; Osmeridae. The record is from the annotation of a RefSeq genome assembly.
AUGUGUUCAGCUCUGACAUCCUCAUCCAUGAUCUCUUUUGUCAUCCCAGUCUCUGUGUUGCUACUGUGGUCUGCAGGUCUCUCUGAGGGGAGUGAUGUCACCCAGACCCCCAGCAUCCUCUGGUCAAUCAAGGGGCAGCCUGCUGAGAUGGACUGCAGUCACACCAAGGGUGCUACACACUACCAGAUGUACUGGUACAGACAGCUACCAGGACAGGGGAUGAAGCUGGUUGUGUUCAGUGUGCCCAACAGUAAUCCUGACUAUGGAGAUGUCAGUGAGCACAAAUUCUCAAUCACCAGGACAGGAGCAGAGAGAGGUUCUUUCACAGUGAAGAACUCUUCACCAGACGACAACGGCAUGUACUUCUGUGCUGUGAGUGAACACAGUGAUACAGACAUCAUGUGCAGCUGCACAAAAACCCCCAACUUCUCCUGAAAGGUCCUGAGUGACGUCAUGUGAGAUGACAGUGUGUUCUGCUGACACUCCCUCCAUCCACCUCCUCUGGGCAGAGUCACUGUGACACAGCAGGGGGUGGGUGUAGCUCAGUGGUAAACAGCCUCCUCCCUCUCAGUCAGUAAGCAGACUUCAUGUGAACAGAACUUAAGAAACCGUUACAAAGUGCUUUCCUGUACGUUUAUCAAUCCAACAAACCAACACAGAAUCAAAGCCAGUCCCAGUAAAGACAACAGUGGUCCAGCAGUAACAGGUCAGAACAAGUCCCUGAUUAUCUGAGUGAAGCCUCACUGGUAGAGCUUCAGCAGACA